Molecule: ribosomal RNA, 2782 nt
Filed under: Rhopalocnemis phalloides
Lineage: Eukaryota; Viridiplantae; Streptophyta; Magnoliopsida; Santalales; Balanophoraceae
Description: 23S ribosomal RNA
Rfam family: Bacterial large subunit ribosomal RNA
Source: RNAcentral
AAAUAAAAAAAAAUAAUUUUUGGUAAAAAAUUAGGUAUUUAUAAAUUAGGAAGGGCGUAAUUAUUAUACGAAAUUUUUAAUAAGUUAAUUAAACAUUAAUUUAAAAAUACCCUAAUAUGUUAACAUUUUUAAACUAUUACAAAAUAAAUAUGUCAAUAAGAAUAAACUUAGAAAAUUGAAAUAUCUUAAUAUCUUAAGGAAAAUAAAAUUAAAAAUUAUGAUUCUCAAAAUAUUAAAGAAAGAAAUGAGAAUAAACCCAAUUUUAAAAAUAAGUAAUUUACUUUUUAUUAAUAAAAAGUAAAUUACCUAAGAUGGUAUUAGUCCAGUCAUUAAUAAAUAUUUAAAUAGUAUAAACAAAAAAUUAUUAAAUAAAUAAAGAGAUUCACCUCAGUGGGUUAAAUAUAUUAUAAAUAACCAAUAGUGUACAUAAGUACUGUGAAGGAAAAUUGAAAAGAAUCAAAUUUAAAUUUAUGAAGUGAAAUAGAAAUAAAAAAAAAAACCAUAAAUAUAUUUUAUUGUAUAAUUUUUUCAUAAAAAAAAAUAAAAUGCAUACCUGUUGAAGAAUGAGUCCUCGACUUAUAAAUAUUGGCUAUCGAAAAAAAAAUAAACUUAUUUUAAUAUCAAAGUGAGAACACUAUAAUAUAUAUUGUCAUUUUUUAUAUACUCGAAACUGAGUGAUCUAAUUAUGUGUAAGAUACAUAUAUAUUUAUUAUAAUAUAUAUUGGUCUGUACCAGUUAAUUAUGCAAAAUUAUUGGAUAAAAUGUGAUUAGUGGUGAAAUAUUAAUCGAACUCAGAAAUAUCUGGUUCCCCCCGAAAUGUAUUGUUGUACAGCAAUUAUUUUAUUUAAUAAAAGGGUAAAGAUCUAUUUUGAAUAUGUUAAUAUUUUAAAUAAAAAAUAUUAAACUAAAUUAAGAUAAACUAAUAAUAUUUUAAUUAUAAUUUAGUAAGUGAGACAUUGGGGGAAAAGCUUCAUUGUCAAGAGGGAAACAGCCCUUAUUUUUAAUUAAGGUUCUAAAAUUAUUAGUUAUUUAUUAAGAGAGUAAAUAAUUAAAAACAUAUAAUAGGUUUGCUUAGAAGCAGCCAACCUUUAAAAAAAGCAUAAUUGCGUAUUAUAAAAUUUUUUUUACAUCAAAAAUUAUAAGGAUUUAACUUUUAUACCGAAAUUAAAAAAAUAUAUUUUUAUAUAUUUGGUAGGGGGGCGUUCUAAGAUAUUUAUUUAAAUUAGAAGUGAUAAUGAGGAUUUAAAUAAUAUUAUAUUGAAAAUUCAAUCAAUACUCUGAAAUACUAAUGAUUUCAAAAUAUUAUAUGAGUAAGUCAGAAUCUAAAAUAAUUUCGAAAGAAAAAAUUGAUGAAAAAUAGGUUAAAAUUCCUAUACUAUAAAAAAAAUUAAAUAAUAUUAUACAAAAAAUGGUAUUUUUGUUUAAAAAAAUUAAAUAUAUAAUAGAAUUUAUAGAGAAAAUAUAAAUAAUUAAAAUUUUAUUAAUUAUGUAUAUUUUAAUUAUACAAAAAUAAUAUUUAAAUAAUUUUCAAGAAAUAUAAAAAUUAAAAUUUUUUUUUUUAAAAUAUCUGUACAUAAUACCAAAUAUAGGUAAUUAAGUAAAAAAUACUAAAGAGUUCGAAAUAAUUAAAUCUAAGGAACUCGGCAAAAAAAUUCUUUUAUUUAUAUAAAGAACAUCUUUUUUACUUUAUUAUUUAUUAAAUUUUUUAAAUUUAAUAAAUAAUAAAGUAAAAAAGAUCUCAGUAACAAAGUUCAAGCGACUGUUUAACAAAAACACAAGUUCUCGCAAAAUUGUAAAAUUGUGUAGGGGAGCUGACGUCUGCCCGGUGCUGUAAAAUAAAAAAUUUUUAAUAUUUUGUUAUUAUAAAAAUAUUAAAAACAAAAUUCCAGUUAACGGCGGCUGUAACUAUAACGGUCCUAAGGUAGCGAAAUUCCUUGUCGGGUAAGUUCCGACCUGCAUGAAAGACGUAACGACUUGAAAACUGUCUCAGAUUUAAAUUCGAUAAAAUAACUUUUUCUGUGAAGAUGCGGAAUAUUUUUACCUGGACAGAAAGACCCUAUGAAACUUUACUGUUUUUUUAAAUUGAUUUUUUAUUAUUAAUUGUAUAGUAAUUAAGUGGUAGAUAUUUUUUUUAUCGUUUAUUGGAAUCCCACUCUUUAAUAAAAUAAAUAAACUAAUUUUAUAAUUUUAUUUUAAAAAUUAUUUUUUAAAAGACAGUUUAUGAUAGACAGUUUAUAUGGGGCAUAGGCCUCCAAAAGAGUAAUGGGGGUGUUUUUUGUUAUAUUGAAUCAUAUUUUUAUUGUUUUAUUAAAGUAUAAAGAUAAAAUAUAGCUUAAUUGUAAGACAAACAUGUCAAACAAAAACGAAAGUUUAUCUUAAUGAUUUGAUAUUUAAUUAUUGUGAAAAAUUUAUCAAUCAACGAAUUAAAGUUACUCUAGGGAUAACAGGCUUAUCAUACCCGAAAGUCCACAUUAACGGUAUGGUUUGGCACCUCGAUGUCGGUUCAUCACUACCUAAAGCAGUAGUAUGUUUUAAGGGUUAGGUUGUUCACCUAUUAAAGUGGUACGUGAGCUGGGUUCAGAACGUCGUGAGACAGUUCGGUCCUUAUCCGGUAAAAUUAGAAUAUUUAGGAUAUUUUUCUUUAAUACGAGAGGACCAAGAAAAAUAUAUUACUAGUGUUUUAUUUAUUGAACCUUCAGUAUUGUUAAAUAGCUACAUAUAUUACAUAAAAAUUGCUGAAAGAAUCUAAGUAAUAAAAAAAAUCUAAAUAAAAAUAUAUUCA